Molecule: ribosomal RNA, 444 nt
Filed under: Triticum aestivum (bread wheat)
Lineage: Eukaryota; Viridiplantae; Streptophyta; Magnoliopsida; Poales; Poaceae
Description: partial small subunit ribosomal RNA
Source: RNAcentral
AUGGGCAACGCUGCGCCGCGCGGUCCGGCGGUGGAGGAGCGGCUGACGCAGCCGCGCCGCCUCGUCCGGCAGCUCUCCGACCUGGACUCCGACCGGCUCCGGCGGCUCAUCCGCUCCGGCGACCUCGCGCCGUGCUUCGACGCCGCCGAGGAGGACGGACGCGCAGUGGAGUGCCCCAUCUGCUUCCACUUCUACCCGAGUUUGAAUCGAUCCAAGUGCUGCGGCAAAGGGAUCUGCACAGAGUGCUUCUUGCAGUUGAUGCCGUCGAAGGCUUCCAAAGCUGUCCACUGCCCAUUCUGCAAAACCGCAGCCUACGCUGUCGAAUACCGCGGUGCUAGAACCUUGAGUGAGAAGAAACUUCAACGAGAAGAAGAACAGAGCGUUUAUGAGGGUGCGACAAGAAUACAUUCCAAGAACGCCGGGGGACAUAUCCUACUACCAUAG